UCCUGACCAUCCAACACACUA
RNAcentral lists this non-coding RNA (21 nucleotides) under Caenorhabditis elegans. Lineage: Eukaryota; Metazoa; Nematoda; Chromadorea; Rhabditida; Rhabditidae. The record is from RNAcentral.